RNAcentral lists this ribosomal RNA (434 nucleotides) under uncultured bacterium. RNAcentral describes it as "partial 16S ribosomal RNA". It matches the Rfam family "Bacterial small subunit ribosomal RNA", at positions 29 to 507 of the family's 1533-position model. The record is from RNAcentral.
AGCGAACGCUGGCGGCAGGCCUAACACAUGCAAGUCGAACGAACCUUUCGGGGUUAGUGGCGGACGGGUGAGUAACACGUGGGUACGUGCCUUUAGGUUCGGAAUAACUCAGGGAAACUUGUGCUAAUACCGAAUGUGCCCUUCGGGGGAAAGAUUUAUCGCCUUUAGAGCGGCCCGCGUCUGAUUAGCUAGUUGGUUGAGGUAAUGGCUCACCAAGGCGACGAUCAGUAGCUGGUCUGAGAGGAUGAUCAGCCACAUUGGGACUGAGACACGGCCCAAACUCCUACGGGAGGCAGCAGUGGGGAAUCUUGCGCAAUGGGCGAAAGCCUGACGCAGCCAUGCCGCGUGAAUGAUGAAGGUCUUAGGAUUGUAAAAUUCUUUCACCGGGGACGAUAAUGACGGUACCCGGAGAAGAAGCCCCGGCUAACUUCGUG